AGAGUUUGAUCCUGGCUCAGGAUGAACGCUGGCGGCGUGCCUAAUACAUGCAAGUCGAACGAAACUUCUUUAUCACCGAGUGCUUGCACUCACCGAUAAAGAGUUGAGUGGCGAACGGGUGAGUAACACGUGGGCAACCUGCCCAAAAGAGGGGGAUAACACUUGGAAACAGGUGCUAAUACCGCAUAACCAUAGUUACCGCAUGGUAACUAUGUAAAAGGUGGCUAUGCUACCGCUUUUGGAUGGGCCCGCGGCGCAUUAGCUAGUUGGUGAGGUAAAGGCUUACCAAGGCAAUGAUGCGUAGCCGAACUGAGAGGUUGAUCGGCCACAUUGGGACUGAGACACGGCCCAAACUCCUACGGGAGGCAGCAGUAGGGAAUCUUCCACAAUGGGCGGAAGCCUGAUGGAGCAACGCCGCGUGGGUGAAGAAGGUCUUCGGAUCGUAAAACCCUGUUGUUAGAGAAGAAAGUGCGUGAGAGUAACUGUUCGCGUUUCGACGGUAUCUAACCAGAAAGCCACGGCUAACUACGUGCCAGCAGCCGCGGUAAUACGUAGGUGGUAAGCGUUAUCCGGAUUUAUUGGGCGUAAAGGGAACGCAGGCGGUCUUUUAAGUCUGAUGUGAAAGCCUUCGGCUUAACCGGAGUAGUGCAUUGGAAACUGGGAGACUUGAGUGCCGGAGAGGCAAGCGGAAUUCCUAGUGUAGCGGUGAAAUGCGUAGAUAUUAGGAGGAACACCAGUGGCGAAGGCGGCUUGCUGGACGAUAACUGACGCUGAGGCGCGAAAGCGUGGGGAGCAAACAGGAUUAGAUACCCUGGUAGUCCACGCUGUAAACGAUGAAUACUAGGUGUGGGAGGACUGACCCCUUCCGUGCCGCAGUUAACACAAUAAGUAUUCCACCUGGGGAGUACGACCGCAAGGUUGAAACUCAAAGGAAUUGACGGGGGCCCGCACAAGCAGUGGAUUAUGUGGUUUAAUUCGACGCAACGCGAAGAACCUUACCAGGGUUUGACAUCCAACUAACGAAGCAGAGAUGCAUUAGGUGCCCUUCGGGGAAAGUUGAGACAGGUGGUGCAUGGUUGUCGUCAGCUCGUGUCGUGAGAUGUUGGGUUAAGUCCCGCAACGAGCGCAACCCUUGCUAUUAGUUGCUACGCAAGAGCACUCUAAUAGGACUGCCGUUGACAAAACGGAGGAAGGUGGGGACGACGUCAAAUCAUCAUGCCCCUUAUGACCUGGGCUACACACGUACUACAAUGGACGUCAACAGAGGGAAGCAAGAUAGCGAUAUGGAGCAAACCCCUAAAAACGUUCUCAGUUCAGAUUGCAGGCUGCAACCCGCCUGCGCGAAGCCGGAGUUGCUAGUAAUCGCGGAUCAGCACGCCGCGGUGAAUGCGUUCCCGGGCCUUGCACUCACCGCCCGUCA
This 1420-nucleotide ribosomal RNA is filed under the name uncultured bacterium. RNAcentral's name for it is "partial 16S ribosomal RNA". It matches the Rfam family "Bacterial small subunit ribosomal RNA". The record is from RNAcentral.